GAUGAACGCUGGCGGCGUGCUUAACACAUGCAAGUCGAACGGGAAACAUUUCAUUGAGGCUUCGGCGGAUUUGGUCUGUUUCUAGUGGCGGACGGGUGAGUAACGCGUGGGUAACCUGCCUUGUACUGGGGGAUAACAGCCAGAAAUGGCUGCUAAUACCGCAUAAGCGCACGGGACCGCAUGGUCCUGUGUGAAAAACUCCGGUGGUAUAAGAUGGACCCGAGUUGGAUUAGCUAGUUGGCAGGGCAGCGGCCUACCAAGGCGACGAUCCAUAGCCGGCCUGAGAGGGUGAACGGCCACAUUGGGACUGAGACACGGCCCAGACUCCUACGGGAGGCAGCAGUGGGGAAUAUUGCACAAUGGGGGAAACCCUGAUGCAGCGACGCCGCGUGAAGGAAGAAGUAUCUCGGUAUGUAAACUUCUAUCAGCAGGGAAGAUAAUGACGGUACCUGACUAAGAAGCCCCGGCUAACUACGUGCCAGCCGCCGCGGUAA
RNAcentral lists this ribosomal RNA (494 nucleotides) under uncultured bacterium. RNAcentral's name for it is "partial 16S ribosomal RNA". It matches the Rfam family "Bacterial small subunit ribosomal RNA", at positions 28 to 523 of the family's 1533-position model. The record is from RNAcentral.